This 73-nucleotide transfer RNA is filed under the name Bos taurus (domestic cattle). It matches the Rfam family "tRNA". From Rfam's summary of the family: Transfer RNA (tRNA) molecules are approximately 80 nucleotides in length. The record is from Rfam by way of RNAcentral. Lineage: Eukaryota; Metazoa; Chordata; Mammalia; Artiodactyla; Bovidae. RNAcentral also lists the same sequence under 1 other name.
UCCCUGGGGGUCCAGUGGUUAGGACUGUGCACUUCCAAUGCAGGUGAUGCAGGUUCAAUCCCUGGUCGGGGAA